RNAcentral lists this ribosomal RNA (301 nucleotides) under uncultured bacterium. RNAcentral describes it as "partial 16S ribosomal RNA". It matches the Rfam family "Bacterial small subunit ribosomal RNA", at positions 509 to 807 of the family's 1533-position model. The record is from RNAcentral.
CAGUCGCCGCGGUAAUACGUAGGGUGCGAGCGUUAAUCGGAAUUACUGGGCGUAAAGCGUGCGCAGGCGGUUGUGUAAGACAGGUGUGAAAUCCCCGGGCUUAACCUGGGAACUGCGUUUGUGACUGCACAGCUAGAGUAUGGCAGAGGGGGGUGGAAUUCCACGUGUAGCGGUGAAAUGCGUAGAUAUCGGAAGGAACACCUGUGGCGAAAGCGGCUCACUGGACCAUAACUGACGCUGAUGCACGAAAGCUAGGGGAGCAAACAGGAUUAGAUACCCCAGUAGUCCCUGUCUCUUAUAC